AGCGAACGCUGGCGGCAGGCCUAACACAUGCAAGUCGAGCGCUCGUAGCAAUACGAGAGCGGCAGACGGGAGAGUAACACGUGGGAACGUACCCUUUGGUUCGGAACAACACAGGGAAACUUGUGCUAAUACCGGAUAAGCCCUUACGGGGAAAGAUUUAUCGCCGAAAGAUUGGCCCGCGUCUGAUUAGCUAGUUGGUGAGGUAACGGCUCACCAAGGCGACGAUCAGUAGCNGGUCUGAGAGGAUGAUCAGCCACAUUGGGACUGAGACACGGCCCAAACUCCUACGGGAGGCAGCAGGUGGGGAAUAUUGGACAAUGGGCGCAAGCCUGAUCCAGCCAUGCCGCGUGAGUGAUGAAGGCCCUAGGGUUGUAAAGCUCUUUUGUGCGGGAAGAUAAUGACGGUACCGCAAGAAUAACGCCCC
Molecule: ribosomal RNA, 424 nt
Filed under: uncultured bacterium
Lineage: Bacteria
Description: bacterial SSU rRNA
Rfam family: Bacterial small subunit ribosomal RNA
Source: RNAcentral